This 328-nucleotide ribosomal RNA is filed under the name uncultured eukaryote. Its description in RNAcentral is "partial 18S ribosomal RNA". It matches the Rfam family "Eukaryotic small subunit ribosomal RNA", at positions 1470 to 1796 of the family's 1831-position model. The record is from RNAcentral.
CCCUUAGAUGUUCUGGGCUGCACGCGCGCUACACUGAUGCGUUCAUCGAGUUUACGCCCUGGCCCGGCAGGGUUGGGUAAUCUUUUGAAAACGCAUCGUGAUGGGGAUAGAUUAUUGCAAUUAUUAAUCUUCAACGAGGAAUUCCUAGUAAGCGCAAGUCAACAGCUUGCGUUGAUUACGUCCCUGCCCUUUGUACACACCGCCCGUCGCUACUACUGAUUGGAUGUUUAAGCGAGGUUCUCGAACUGCUAGCGACUUAGCUUCGGUGAGGUCGCAGUGUGGGAAGUGAACCUAGCUUUGGUGUCUAGAGGAAGUAAAAGUCGUAACA